UACGUAGGUGGCAGGCGUUGUCCGGAUUUAUUGGGCGUAAAGAGCUCGUAGGCGGCUCGUCGCGUCGACCGUGAAAACCCGCGGCUUAACUGCGGGCUUGCGGUUGAUACGGGCGGGCUAGAGUUCGGUAGGGGAGACUGGAAUUCCUGGUGUAGCGGUGAAAUGCGCAGAUAUCAGGAGGAACACCGGUGGCGAAGGCGGGUCUCUGGGCCGAUACUGACGCUGAGGAGCGAAAGCGUGGGGAGCGAACAGG
This 253-nucleotide ribosomal RNA is filed under the name uncultured bacterium. RNAcentral's name for it is "partial 16S ribosomal RNA". It matches the Rfam family "Bacterial small subunit ribosomal RNA", at positions 524 to 776 of the family's 1533-position model. The record is from RNAcentral.